GGAUGCGAUCAUACCAGCACUAAAGCACCGGAUCCCAUCAGAACUCCGAAGUUAAGCGUGCUUUGGCGAGAGUAGUUCUAGGAUGGUGACCUCCUGGGAAGUCCUCGUGUUGCAUUCC
Non-coding RNA from Triticum aestivum (bread wheat), 118 nucleotides. The record is from Rfam. Lineage: Eukaryota; Viridiplantae; Streptophyta; Magnoliopsida; Poales; Poaceae.